RNAcentral lists this ribosomal RNA (443 nucleotides) under uncultured bacterium. Its description in RNAcentral is "bacterial SSU rRNA". It matches the Rfam family "Bacterial small subunit ribosomal RNA", at positions 9 to 445 of the family's 1533-position model. The record is from RNAcentral.
GAGUUUGAUCGUGGCUCAGGAUGAACGCUGGCGGCGUGCCUAACACAUGCAAGUCGAACGGACUUACAUUGAAGCCUAGCGAUAUGUAAGUUAGUGGCGGACGGGUGAGUAACGCGUGGGUAACCUGCCUUGUACUGGGGGACAACAGUUGGAAACGACUGCUAAUACCGCAUAAGCGCACAGCUUCGCAUGAAGCAGUGUGAAAAACUCCGGUGGUACAAGAUGGACCCGCGUCUGAUUAGCUGGUUGGUGAGGUAACGGCCCACCAAGGCGACGAUCAGUAGCCGGCCUGAGAGGGUGAACGGCCACAUUGGGACUGAGACACGGCCCAAACUCCUACGGGAGGCAGCAGUGGGGAAUAUUGCACAAUGGGGGAAACCCUGAUGCAGCAACGCCGCGUGAGUGAAGAAGUAUUUCGGUAUGUAAAGCUCUAUCAGCAGGAA